UGUGUCCUACGGGAGGCAGCAGUGGGGAAUAUUGCGCAAUGGGCGAAAGCCUGACGCAGCGACGCCGCGUGAGGGAUGGAGGUCUUCGGAUCGUAAACCUCUGUCAGCAGGGAAGAACGGUCACUGUGCUAAUCAGCAGUGAAUUGACGGUACCUGAAUAAGAAGCACCGGCUAAAUACGUGCCAGCAGCCGCGGUAAUACGUAUGGUGCAAGCGUUAUCCGGAUUUACUGGGCGUAAAGGGAGCGCAGGCGGCGCGCCAAGUCUGAUGUGA
Molecule: ribosomal RNA, 272 nt
Filed under: uncultured bacterium
Lineage: Bacteria
Description: partial 16S ribosomal RNA
Rfam family: Bacterial small subunit ribosomal RNA
Source: RNAcentral